GGCUGCUUUUUUAGUAGUCCGAGUUGUAAUUUGAAGAAUAGAUCCUUGGAGAGGCGCCUUGUCUAUGUUCCUUGGAACAGGACGUCGCAGAGGGUGAGAAUCCCGUUUGGCGAGGUGUGCUGAUCCGUGUAAGGGCUGUUCGACGAGUCGAGUUGUUUGGGAAUGCAGCUCUAAGUGGGUGGUAAAUUCCAUCUAAAGCUAAAUAUUGGCGAGAGACCGAUAGCGAACAAGUACAGUGAUGGAAAGAUGAAAAGAACUUUGAAAAGAGAGUGAAAAAGUACGUGAAAUUGUUGAAAGGGAAGGUUAUUAGAUCAGACUUGGAUUUUUUAUUAUAUUUGUCUCCUUGUGGGGCAUUCACUAAUUUUUAAUCCAGGCCAGCAUCGAUUGGGAUGGCGGGAAAAAGAGGGAGGAACGUGGCUGUGCAUUUAUGUGCAGUGUUUAUAGCCUUUCUUAAUACCGCCUGUCUCGAUCGAGGACUGCGGCAAA
This 486-nucleotide ribosomal RNA is filed under the name Barnettozyma californica. RNAcentral describes it as "partial large subunit ribosomal RNA". It matches the Rfam family "Eukaryotic large subunit ribosomal RNA", at positions 124 to 609 of the family's 3401-position model. The record is from RNAcentral. Lineage: Eukaryota; Fungi; Ascomycota; Saccharomycetes; Phaffomycetales; Phaffomycetaceae.